CGGCGGACGGGUGAGUAACACGUGGGUAACCUGCCUGUAAGACUGGGAUAACUCCGGGAAACCGGGGCUAAUACCGGAUGCUUGAUUGAACCGCAUGGUUCAAUUAUAAAAGGUGGCUUUUAGCUACCACUUACAAAUGGACCCGCGGCGCAUUAGCUAGUUGGUGAGGUAACGGCUCACCAAGGCAACAAUGCGUAGCCAACCUGAAAGGGUGAUCGGCCACACUGGGACUGAAACACGGCCCAAACUCCUACGGGAGGCAGCAGUAGGGAAUCUUCCGCAAUGGACAAAAGUCUGACGGAGCAACGCCCCGUGAGUGAUGAAGGUUUUCGGAUCGUAAAACUCUGUUGUUAGGGAAAAACAAGUACCGUUCGAAUAGGGCGGUACCUUGACGGUACCUAACCAAAAAGCCACGGCUAAUUACGUGCCAGCAGCCGCGGUAAUACGUAGGUGGCAAGCGUUGUCCGGAAUUAUUGGGCGUAAAGCGCGCGCAGGCGGUUUCUUAAGUCUGAUGUGAAAGCCCCCGGCUCAACCGGGGAGGGUCAUUGGAAACUGGGGAACUUGAGUGCAAAAAAGGAGAGUGGAAUUCCACGUGUAGCGGUGAAAUGCGUAGAGAUGUGAAGGAACACCAGUGGCGAAGGCAACUCUCUGGUCUGUAACUGACGCUAAGGCGCGAAAGCGUGGGGAGCGAACAGGAUUAGAUACCCUGGUAGUCCACGCCGUAAACGAUGAGUGCUAAGUGUUAGAGGGUUUCCGCCCUUUAGUGCUGCAGCAAACGCAUUAAGCACUCCGCCUGGGGAGUACGGUCGCAAGACUGAAACUCAAAGGAAUUGACGGGGGCCCGCACAAGCGGUGGAGCAUGUGGUUUAAUUCGAAGCAACGCGAAGAACCUUACCAGGUCUUGACAUCCUCUGACAACCCUAGAGAUAGGGCUUCCCCUUCGGGGGCAGAGUGACAGGUGGUGCAUGGUUGUCGUCAGCUCGUGUCGUGAGAUGUUGGGUUAAGUCCCGCAACGAGCGCAACCCUUGAUCUUAGUUGCCAGCAUUCAGUUGGGCACUCUAAGGUGACUGCCGGUGACAAACCGGAGGAAGGUGGGGAUGACGUCAAAUCAUCAUGCCCCUUAUGACCUGGGCUACACACGUGCUACAAUGGGCAGAACAAAGGGCAGCGAAGCCGCGAGGCUAAGCCAAUCCCACAAAUCUGUUCUCAGU
RNAcentral lists this ribosomal RNA (1211 nucleotides) under Bacillus licheniformis. RNAcentral describes it as "bacterial SSU rRNA". It matches the Rfam family "Bacterial small subunit ribosomal RNA", at positions 96 to 1292 of the family's 1533-position model. The record is from RNAcentral. Lineage: Bacteria; Bacillati; Bacillota; Bacilli; Caryophanales; Bacillaceae.